AUUGAACGCUGGCGGAAUGCUUUACACAUGCAAGUCGAACGGCAGCACGGACUUCGGUCUGGUGGCGAGUGGCGAACGGGUGAGUAAUACAUCGGAACGUGCCCGGACGUGGGGGAUAACUACUCGAAAGAGUGGCUAAUACCGCAUACGAUCCAAGGAUGAAAGCGGGGGAUCGCAAGACCUCGCGCGUUUGGAGCGGCCGAUGGCAGAUUAGGUAGUUGGUGAGGUAAAGGCUUACCAAGCCUGCGAUCUGUAGCUGGUCUGAGAGGAUGAUCAGCCACACUGGGACUGAGACACGGCCCAGACUCCUACGGGAGGCAGCAGUGGGGAAUUUUGGACAAUGGGGGCAACCCUGAUCCAGCCAUGCCGCGUGAGUGAAGAAGGCCUUCGGGUUGUAAAGCUCUUUCAGGUGGAAAGAAAUCUCCCGGGUGAAUACCCUGGGAGGAUGACGGUACCAUCAGAAGAAGCACCGGCUAACUACGUGCCAGCAGCCGACC
This 497-nucleotide ribosomal RNA is filed under the name uncultured bacterium. Its description in RNAcentral is "bacterial SSU rRNA". It matches the Rfam family "Bacterial small subunit ribosomal RNA", at positions 30 to 519 of the family's 1533-position model. The record is from RNAcentral.